This 312-nucleotide ribosomal RNA is filed under the name uncultured bacterium. RNAcentral's name for it is "bacterial SSU rRNA". It matches the Rfam family "Bacterial small subunit ribosomal RNA", at positions 28 to 334 of the family's 1533-position model. The record is from RNAcentral.
GAUGAACGCUAGCGACAGGCUUAACACAUGCAAGUCGAGGGGCAGCGGGGGAGUAGCAAUACUCCCGCCGGCGACCGGCGCACGGGUGAGUAACACGUAUCCAACCUGCCGAUGACUCGGGGAUAGCCUUUCGAAAGAAAGAUUAAUACCCGAUGGCAUAGUUCUUCCGCAUGGUAGAACUAUUAAAGAAUUUCGGUCAUCGAUGGGGAUGCGUUCCAUUAGCUUGUUGGCGGGGUAACGGCCCACCAAGGCAUCGAUGGAUAGGGGUUCUGAGAGGAAGGUCCCCCACAUUGGAACUGAGACACGGUCCAA